Molecule: ribosomal RNA, 302 nt
Filed under: Caryedon longispinosus
Lineage: Eukaryota; Metazoa; Arthropoda; Insecta; Coleoptera; Chrysomelidae
Also listed under: 1 other name
Description: partial 12S ribosomal RNA
Source: RNAcentral
GCUAAAUGAUUAAUAGUUAUGUUCUUUAAAGUUAAAGAAUUUGGCGGUAUUUUAGUCUUUUCAGAGGAACCUGUUCUGUAAUUGAUAAUCCACGAUUAUAAUUACUUUAGUUUUAAGUUUGCAUAUCGUUGUAGUUUGAGUAUUUUAAAAGAAAAAAAAUGUUCAAUAUGUUUAAUUAAAAUUUAAAUCAAAUCAAGGUGUAGUUUAUAUUAAAGGAGAAAUGGGUUACAUUGAUAGAAAAAAUUUAGGAUUAUUUUUGUAAAAAAAAUAUGAAUAUGGAUUUGAGAGUAAUUUUAUUUAUA